UACAGAGGGUGCAAGCGUUAAUCGGAAUGACUGGGCGUAAAGGGCAUGUAGGUGGCGGUAUAGGUUUGAUGUGAAAUCCCUGGGCUUAACCUGGGAAUGGCGUUGAAGACGAUACGGCUAGAGUUUAACAGAGGGCGGCGGAAUUUCCGGUGUAGCAGUGAAAUGCGUAGAGAUCGGAAAGAACACCGGUGGCGAAGGCGGCCGCCUGGGUUGAAACUGACACUGAGGUGCGAAAGCGUGGGGAGCAAACAGG
This 253-nucleotide ribosomal RNA is filed under the name uncultured bacterium. Its description in RNAcentral is "partial 16S ribosomal RNA". It matches the Rfam family "Bacterial small subunit ribosomal RNA", at positions 524 to 776 of the family's 1533-position model. The record is from RNAcentral.